This 775-nucleotide ribosomal RNA is filed under the name uncultured Neocallimastigales. RNAcentral describes it as "partial large subunit ribosomal RNA". It matches the Rfam family "Eukaryotic large subunit ribosomal RNA", at positions 23 to 616 of the family's 3401-position model. Lineage: Eukaryota; Fungi; Neocallimastigomycota; Neocallimastigomycetes; Neocallimastigales. The record is from RNAcentral.
AGAGAGAGACAUGCGCGCAUAUCAAUAAGCGGAGGAAAAGAAACUAACAAGGAUUCCCCUAGUAACGGCGAGUGAAGCGGGAAGAGCUCAAAUUUGAAAUCUUAAAGGGUUUCCCUUUACGAAUUGUAGUUUAAAGAAGUGUUUUCUGUUGAGGUUUUGGUAAAAGUUCUUUGGAAUAGGACAUCAUAGAGGGUGAGAAUCCCGUACUUUGACCUUUACUUUCAACUUUGUGAUACACUUUCAAAGAGUCGGAUUGUUUGGGAAUGCAGUCCAAAAUGGGUGGUAAAUUUCAUCUAAAGCUAAAUAUUGGCGAGAGACCGAUAGCGAACAAGUACCGUGAGGGAAAGAUGAAAAGAACUUUGAAAAGAGAGUUAAACAGUACGUGAAAUUGUCAAAAGGGAAGCGUUUGACACCAGUGUUGUUUUUCUGAAAAUCAAUUAGAGAACUGUUUAUGCUAAGUUGUUUAGACUUUAUCAGCUAACUGUUUAGUUUUGAGCUUUUCUUUAAUGCACUUUUCAGUUAACAAGUCAACAUCAAUUUCUUUUGCUGUAAAAAAGCUUGAGGAAGGUGGCUUGAGAUUCGUCUUAAGUGUUUAUAGCCUCUUGCCUAUGCAGUCGGAGAGAUUGAGGUCUGCAGCGUAGAUCCUUCGGGGCUAAAUGCAUUUGUGCUAAGUUAUAGCAUUUUAUAGACAACUUGUUGACUAUGAUUUGUCUUGUAGCUUACUCGCUUAUGUUAUUUUACCUACGCUUAGGAUGUUGAGCGCAUGUCUCUCUCU